Molecule: transfer RNA, 71 nt
Filed under: Acyrthosiphon pisum (pea aphid)
Lineage: Eukaryota; Metazoa; Arthropoda; Insecta; Hemiptera; Aphididae
Rfam family: tRNA
About the family: Transfer RNA (tRNA) molecules are approximately 80 nucleotides in length. Their secondary structure includes four short double-helical elements and three loops (D, anti-codon, and T loops).
Source: Rfam by way of RNAcentral
AGUCGGGUAGCUCAGUGUUAGAGCAAUCGCCCGACAAGCGAGAGACUCGGGUUCGAUUCCCGGUCCGGCGG